UGGGGUGUAGCCAAGUGGUAAGGCAACGGACUUUGACUCCGUCAUUCGUUGGUUCGAAUCCAGCCACCCCAGCCA
This 75-nucleotide transfer RNA is filed under the name Syntrophomonadaceae bacterium. RNAcentral describes it as "tRNA-Gln". It matches the Rfam family "tRNA". Rfam says of the family: Transfer RNA (tRNA) molecules are approximately 80 nucleotides in length. Their secondary structure includes four short double-helical elements and three loops (D, anti-codon, and T loops). Further hydrogen bonds mediate the characteristic L-shaped molecular structure. tRNAs have two regions of fundamental functional importance: the anti-codon, which is responsible for specific mRNA codon recognition, and the 3' end, to which the tRNAs corresponding amino acid is attached (by aminoacyl-tRNA synthetases). tRNAs cope with the degeneracy of the genetic code in two manners: having more than one tRNA (with a specific anti-codon) for a particular amino acid; and 'wobble' base-pairing, i.e. permitting non-standard base-pairing at the 3rd anti-codon position. The record is from RNAcentral. Lineage: Bacteria; Bacillati; Bacillota; Clostridia; Eubacteriales; Syntrophomonadaceae.